Molecule: ribosomal RNA, 447 nt
Filed under: uncultured bacterium
Lineage: Bacteria
Description: SSU rRNA
Rfam family: Bacterial small subunit ribosomal RNA
Source: RNAcentral
AGAACGAACGCUGGCGGCAUGCCUAACACAUGCAAGUCGAACGAGAUCUUCGGAUCUAGUGGCGCACGGGUGCGUAACGCGUGGGAAUCUGCCUUUCGGUACGGAAUAACUCAUGGAAACGUGUGCUAAUACCGUAUGAUGUCGCGAGACCAAAGAUUUAUCGCCGAGAGAUGAGCCCGCGUAGGAUUAGCUAGUUGGUGGGGUAAAGGCCUACCAAGGCGACGAUCCUUAGCUGGUCUGAGAGGAUGAUCAGCCACACUGGGACUGAGACACGGCCCCAGACUCCUACGGGAGGCAGCAGUGGGGAAUAUUGGACAAUGGGCGCAAGCCUGAUCCAGCAAUGCCGCGUGAGUGAUGAAGGCCUUAGGGUUGUAAAGCUCUUUUACCCGGGAAGAUAAUGACUGUACCGGGAGAAUAAGCCCCGGCUAACUCCGCGCCAGCAGCCGC